GAGGUUUCGGGCUGGGGUCGGGCUGGCAGCCCCCCCCCCCCCCGCACCCCCCUUGUGGUGUCGUGAGGCUGUGAGAGGAGCUGAGGGGGGCGCAGGGUGCUUCACCGGAAAACCUUUGGCUGGUUGCAUGCUUCGCAGGACCGGCGUUUGGAGGAUGGGGCUGCACGGGGGCUCGGGUGCGUCCGGAGUCUGGCCGGGGCAAGGCAGCAUCACGUCAGGUGGGGAGAAGACCUUCAGGCUGGAGGCCACCCUUACACGGCCCGUUUUCCCCUAGCCAGGGCACGGCCUUGCACCCUGCAGUGCUGCUGGAUGAAACCGGGGACCCCGAGCGAGGUGGGGGCCCCCUGCCAGCACCAAGAGCCCCUCUGCAUCCCAGAGGCUUGAUCCUUUUCGUGGCUGCCCUCCCUUUUCGAGUGUAUUUUGUGCCUUAAUUCUCCCUGUGAGCGACGCUGCAAGGGCAGACGAGCUGUCAAGCAGCUGGGAGUCCCUUUCCGUGCGUCUGUCCCCAUGGAUAGAAGCAGGCCUGCCCAGGAGCCAGCCCGCAUCCAAAACAAGCUCCGAGUGCUCGUUUGCCGGGGGGGUUCACGGCCCGAGAUUUUAAAGCCGAAUUUAGGUCUCUGGGACCGUUGUGGUUUUUAACGAGCUCUGUAGCGACCUACUAUUUUUGUAACACUUUGUUUCUGUUGUGCAGUGCCUGCUUGUUCUCUUUCCCUUAAAAAAAAAAAAA
Molecule: long non-coding RNA, 727 nt
Organism: Oxyura jamaicensis (ruddy duck)
Lineage: Eukaryota; Metazoa; Chordata; Aves; Anseriformes; Anatidae
Exons: 2
Source: RefSeq, a predicted model, not a curated record